This 497-nucleotide ribosomal RNA is filed under the name uncultured bacterium. RNAcentral's name for it is "partial 16S ribosomal RNA". It matches the Rfam family "Bacterial small subunit ribosomal RNA", at positions 28 to 507 of the family's 1533-position model. The record is from RNAcentral.
GAUGAACGCUGGCGGCGUGCCUAAUACAUGCAAGUCGAGCGAACAGACGAGGAGCUUGCUCCUCUGACGUUAGCGGCGGACGGGUGAGUAACACGUGGAUAACCUACCUAUAAGACUGGGAUAACUUCGGGAAACCGGAGCUAAUACCGGAUAAUAUAUUGAACCGCAUGGUUCAAUAGUGAAAGACGGUUUUGCGGUCAUUUAUAGAUGGAUCCGCGCCGCAUUAGCUAGUUGGUAAGGUAACGGCUUACCAAGGCAACGAUGCGUAGCCGACCUGAGAGGGUGAUCGGCCACACUGGAACUGAGACACGGUCCAGACUCCUACGGGAGGCAGCAGUAGGGAAUCUUCCGCAAUGGGCGAAAGCCUGACGGAGCAACGCCGCGUGAGUGAUGAAGGUCUUCGGAUCGUAAAACUCUGUUAUUAGGGAAGAACAAAUGUGUAAGUAACUAUGCACGUCUUGACGGUACCUAAUCAGAAAGCCACGGCUAACUACGUG